Molecule: long non-coding RNA, 720 nt
Filed under: Apteryx rowi (Okarito brown kiwi)
Lineage: Eukaryota; Metazoa; Chordata; Aves; Apterygiformes; Apterygidae
Description: lncRNA (ENSARWG00000015797.1)
Source: RNAcentral
UCAUGGGCCCAGUUCUGUUCUUCAAUAGGACACGGAAUAAAAUUACUUGAACAGAAAAAUAGUGAUAAUUGAAAGUACAAGGAUCUGAAAUCCUUCAUUCUUGAAGGACAGCAUAAGCAGCCGUAUCUCCCCUCAUGACUUUUGGGGGUUUGGUCAAGCACUUUUGUCUUCUGCAAUCCCGCAAAGGCAAGCGCAGGAUCUCCUUUAUCUGCCGAACUUCUAGGACAACAUCAUUCUCACUGAUCAACUCUGUUUCACAGGGAUGUGCUCCAUGUUGAACCUGAAGGAGGAAGUUCAGCUAGCCAAGGAGUCUUCAUUAUUCACCUCUUUCCAGUGAGCAUCACAGUGUUCAGGAGGAAAKCUAAGACAGCAAAGGUUUUGUGGUUGGAGAGGAUAUUUUAUUGGCCUGAAGAGAUCCAUUAGAUGGGAGGUAUUAGGAAUGCAAGAAUAUGCUCUUAUGAAAACUGAACCGAUAAUCAAAAAUAUUUUCCUUCCAACAGGCAAGUAGGAAGUGAGAUGCCUCCUCAUCUGUAUGAUCACUUUAUAAUUUAAAAAACUUGUCACUGAAUUUCACWGUUUCCUCACCCUAAAUUCAUCUUCUGUUCUUGCUUUCCUUGUUAAACACUAACUGCUAAAAUUUGCUAUAAAUGUUGAACCUGGUUAGAGCCCAUAGUGUCAGAAGUGGCAAUUAUGUGAGAGUCGGCUGUCGAAGUGUCAAGC